UACGAAGGGGGCUAGCGUUGUUCGUAUUUACUGGGCGUAAGGCGCAUGUAGGCGGGUCGUUAAGGUGGAGGUGAAAUCCCGAGGCUCAACCUCGGAACUGCCUUCAAAACUGGCGACCUGGAGCAAGAUAGAGGCAAGUGGAAUUGCGAGUGUAGAGGUGAAAUUCGUAGAUAUUCGCAGGAACACCAGUGGCGAAGGCGACUUGCUGGAUCUUUGCUGACGCUGAGAUGCGAAAGCGUGGGGAGCAAACAGG
Molecule: ribosomal RNA, 253 nt
Filed under: uncultured bacterium
Lineage: Bacteria
Description: partial 16S ribosomal RNA
Rfam family: Bacterial small subunit ribosomal RNA
Source: RNAcentral